GUUAGUAGUAUGCAUGAUGACAAAAUAUACUUAAUGUUAGUUUUUAACUUUAACAUGUUUAACUCUUAAAACAUUAUCAGGAUUUAAUAUUUAAAUAUUAUAUCACACAAACUGAUUCGAAAAAAAACACCAAAUAAAAUUGAGAAAGGAAAUGGUGAAUGUGUCAAAGCGACAACAACCCGACCAUAGAGCAGACAACAGCCAAAGGCCACUAAUGGGUCUUCAAUGUAGCGAGAAACUACCGCACCCGAGGCGUCCUUCCGCUGGCCCCUAAAAAAAAUUGUAUACUAGUACAGUGAUAAUGGACGUCAUACUAAACUCCGAAUUAUACACAAGAAACUAACAUUAAAAUCAUACAAGAUCUAGACUAACAAAUGCAAGAGGCUCCUGACUUGGGACAGACGCAAAAUUGAGGAGGGGUUAAACAUGUUAAUGAAUG
RNAcentral lists this long non-coding RNA (439 nucleotides) under Mytilus galloprovincialis (Mediterranean mussel). Lineage: Eukaryota; Metazoa; Mollusca; Bivalvia; Mytilida; Mytilidae. The record is from RNAcentral.